ACACGGAUUGUGGUGUAAGCCUUCCAAGCUCAUGGCCCGGGUUCAAAUCCCGGUCCGCGCA
This 61-nucleotide transfer RNA is filed under the name Natrinema thermotolerans. Its description in RNAcentral is "tRNA-Leu". It matches the Rfam family "tRNA". From Rfam's summary of the family: Transfer RNA (tRNA) molecules are approximately 80 nucleotides in length. The record is from RNAcentral. Lineage: Archaea; Methanobacteriati; Methanobacteriota; Halobacteria; Halobacteriales; Natrialbaceae.